GAUGAACGCUGGCGGCGUGCCUAAUACAUGCAAGUCGAGCGAACAGACGAGGAGCUUGCUCCUCUGACGUUAGCGGCAGACGGGUGAGUAACACGUGGAUAACCUACCUAUAAGACUGGGAUAACUUCGGGAAACCGGAGCUAAUACCGGAUAAUAUAUUGAACCGCAUGGUUCAAUAGUGAAAGACGGUUUUGCUGUCACUUAUAGAUGGAUCCGCGCCGCAUUAGCUAGUUGGUAAGGUAACGGCUUACCAAGGCAACGAUGCGUAGCCGACCUGAGAGGGUGAUCGGCCACACUGGAACUGAGACACGGUCCAGACUCCUACGGGAGGCAGCAGUAGGGAAUCUUCCGCAAUGGGCGAAAGCCUGACGGAGCAACGCCGCGUGAGUGAUGAAGGUCUUCGGAUCGUAAAACUCUGUUAUUAGGGAAGAACAAAUGUGUAAGUAACUAUGCACGUCUUGACGGUACCUAAUCAGAAAGCCACGACUAACUACGUG
Molecule: ribosomal RNA, 497 nt
Filed under: uncultured bacterium
Lineage: Bacteria
Description: partial 16S ribosomal RNA
Rfam family: Bacterial small subunit ribosomal RNA
Source: RNAcentral